RNAcentral lists this small nucleolar RNA (146 nucleotides) under Nicotiana attenuata. Its description in RNAcentral is "snoRNA Plant_U3". Lineage: Eukaryota; Viridiplantae; Streptophyta; Magnoliopsida; Solanales; Solanaceae. The record is from RNAcentral.
AGAACCUUACUUGAACAGGACCUGUUCUAUAGGCUCGUACCACUAUAUCCAUGAGUUCUCGGGAGAAAGGAAACCAAGUCUAGUGGAUGAUCGUUCUCAGCCCCCAACCAUGGGUGCUGGCAUGGUCUAAUGGCUUCUGACAGACU